GUGGGGAAUUUUGGACAAUGGGCGCAAGCCUGAUCCAGCCAUGCCGCGUGCAAGAUGAAGGCCUUCGGGUUGUAAACUGCUUUUGUACGGAACGAAAAGACUUCUUCUAAUACAGGAGGUCCAUGACGGUACCGUAAGAAUAAGCACCGGCUAACUACGUGCCAGCAGCCGCGGUAAUACGUAGGGUGCAAGCGUUAAUCGGAAUUACUGGGCGUAAAGCGUGCGCAGGCGGUUAUAUAAGACAGAUGUGAAAUCCCCGGGCUCAACCUGGGAACUGCAUUUGUGACUGUAUAGCUAGAGUACGGUAGAGGGGGAUGGAAUUCCGCGUGUAGCAGUGAAAUGCGUAGAUAUGCGGAGGAACACCGAUGGCGAAGGCAAUCCCCUGGACCUGUACUGACGCUCAUGCACGAAAGCGUGGGGAGCAAACAGGAUUAGAAACCCGGGUAGUCC
RNAcentral lists this ribosomal RNA (450 nucleotides) under uncultured bacterium. RNAcentral describes it as "partial 16S ribosomal RNA". It matches the Rfam family "Bacterial small subunit ribosomal RNA", at positions 354 to 796 of the family's 1533-position model. The record is from RNAcentral.